UACAGAGGUCCCAAGCGUUGUUCGGAUUCAUUGGGCGUAAAGGGUGCGUAGGCGGCGCGGGAAGUCGGGUGUGAAAUCUCGGGGCUUAACUCCGAAACUGUAUUCGAUACUGCCGUGCUUGAGGACUGGAGAGGAGACUGGAAUUUACGGUGUAGCGGUGAAAUGCGUAGAUAUCGUAAGGAAGACCAGUGGCGAAGGCGGCUCACUGGCCCGAUACUGACGCUGAGGCACGAAAGCGUGGGGAGCAAACAGG
Molecule: ribosomal RNA, 253 nt
Filed under: uncultured bacterium
Lineage: Bacteria
Description: partial 16S ribosomal RNA
Rfam family: Bacterial small subunit ribosomal RNA
Source: RNAcentral